GAUGAACGCUGGCGGCGUGCCUAAUACAUGCAAGUCGAGCGAACAGACGAGGAGCUUGCUCCUUCGACGUUAGCGGCGGACGGGUGAGUAACACGUAGGUAACCUACCUAUAAGACUGGGAUAACUUCGGGAAACCGGAGCUAAUCCCGGAUAAUAUUUCGAACCGCGUGGUUCGAUAGUGAAAGAUGGCUUCGCUAUCACUUAUAGAUGGACCUGCGCCGUAUUAGCUAGUUGGUAAGGUAACAGCUUACCAAGGCAACGAUACGUAGCCGAACUCAGAGGGGGGUCGGCGACAUGGGAGCGUAGACACGGUCAAGACUCCUACGGGAGGCAGCAGUAGGGAAUCGGCCGCAAUGGGCGAAAGCCUGACGGAGCAAGGCCGCGUGAGUGAUGAAGGCCUUCGGAUCGUAAAACUCGGUUAUUAGGGAAGAACAAACGUGUAAGGAACUGUGCACGUCUUGACGGUACCUAAUCAGAAAGCCACGGCUAACUACGUG
Molecule: ribosomal RNA, 497 nt
Filed under: uncultured bacterium
Lineage: Bacteria
Description: partial 16S ribosomal RNA
Rfam family: Bacterial small subunit ribosomal RNA
Source: RNAcentral